This 821-nucleotide long non-coding RNA is filed under the name Sinocyclocheilus anshuiensis. RNAcentral's name for it is "lncRNA (ENSSANG00000018454.1)". The record is from RNAcentral. Lineage: Eukaryota; Metazoa; Chordata; Actinopteri; Cypriniformes; Cyprinidae.
UUACAGUAUGAGUUAUAAAUAUCUUACUUAAAAACUUAAAAGUGCUUAAAUAAUUCCAUAUUUGUCAUUCGAUUAUUGUAUGUUAUUUAUUUGCUAUUAGCAAAGCCUUAUUGUGAUGUUAUUGAGGUACGAGGAGAUUUAAAACCAGAUCAAGGUGCUCGACCUGAAGUCUCAAGAGUUCAAACAAGAAUCAGAGAUGAUGGAGCAAACCAUCACCACUAUGCCAGAUGUUAUAGCGGAGCUACAGUAAGAAAUACUGUAAACAAUAUAUGUUUGACCAUAUAAAUAUUAGACUUCCAUGCUUGUUUUUAUUUGUUGUCUAUUUCAGGGGUUUGUCAAACACUAUGGCGUUCAAACAUGGGACAGUCACAGUAGUGAUGGGUAAUGUGCACAGGGAUAUAGCUUCCUGUCAACAGAGGAAGUCUCAUCACGCACAGAUUCACUCAACGCCGGGCUGUCAUGAAGGACACAGAGGGUAAUCUACAUGAAGCAACUAAAAGCCAAUCUGAAGUUGGCUCAAGAGUACCGAGAGCUGCAGAAAGUUCUGAUGAUUGCCAGACAAGAAGCCGUUUGUGUUUUUGACAUAAGAAACAGAGCAGAGGCCUACAUCCAAGAUCACAAGCAGCUUUCUUUGUUGCAGAAGAGGAUGCACAAAGCCAUGCUAAAAUACUUCAAACGCCGCAGCGUCUACAGCCAGGCAGAGCUGGCCCGCUUCCAGACCCUCUCCAACCAGAACAACCAGAAAAUGAAAGCCCUCCAGAGAAUACAGACAAAGAACUUAAUGGAUGACUGAGAGACAUACUAUUUCUCUUGAAACUCAG